UCAGACCCUGCAGGAUCAGCUCCUGGAGGUGCCAGAGAGGGAAGAUGGGAAAAAGUCGAAAUGAGUUUGUUUCAGAAGGCAGACUGCAAACUACAGUUUGGAAAAACCCACCGAGGUAGCCAAGAGCAGAAAAUCCUGUUUGGAAGAGGGAUAUAUUUGGUUUUCUGACUCCUGAAUAAAGGAGGAGUUUUUAAAUAAAA
Molecule: long non-coding RNA, 200 nt
Organism: Passer domesticus (house sparrow)
Lineage: Eukaryota; Metazoa; Chordata; Aves; Passeriformes; Passeridae
Exons: 2
Source: RefSeq, a predicted model, not a curated record